CCUACGGGAGGCUGCAGUGGGGAAUAUUGGACAAUGGGCGAAAGCCUGAUCCAGCCAUGCCGCGUGUGUGAAGAAGGCCUUCGGGUUGUAAAGCACUUUCAGUGGGGAAGAAAGCCUUGGGGCUAAUACCCUCGAGGAAGGACAUCACCCACAGAAGAAGCACCGGCUAACUCCGUGCCAGCAGCCGCGGUAAUACGGAGGGUGCGAGCGUUAAUCGGAAUUACUGGGCGUAAAGCGCGCGUAGGCGGUCUGAUAAGCCGGUUGUGAAAGCCCCGGGCUCAACCUGGGAACGGCAUCCGGAACUGUCAGGCUAGAGUGCAGGAGAGGAAGGUAGAAUUCCCGGUGUAGCGGUGAAAUGCGUAGAGAUCGGGAGGAAUACCAGUGGCGAAGGCGGCCUUCUGGACUGACACUGACGCUGAGGUGCGAAAGCGUGGGUAGCAAACAGGAUUAGAUACCCGAGUCGUC
Molecule: ribosomal RNA, 465 nt
Filed under: Vreelandella stevensii
Lineage: Bacteria; Pseudomonadati; Pseudomonadota; Gammaproteobacteria; Oceanospirillales; Halomonadaceae
Description: partial 16S ribosomal RNA
Rfam family: Bacterial small subunit ribosomal RNA
Source: RNAcentral